This 257-nucleotide ribosomal RNA is filed under the name uncultured prokaryote. RNAcentral describes it as "partial 16S ribosomal RNA". It matches the Rfam family "Bacterial small subunit ribosomal RNA", at positions 524 to 780 of the family's 1533-position model. The record is from RNAcentral.
UACGUAGGGGGCAAGCGUUGUCCGGAAUUACUGGGCGUAAAGGGCGUGUAGGCGGCCAUGUAUGUCAGGUGUGAAAUGCCACGGCUCAACCGAGGCACUGCACAUGAAACUGGAUGGCUUGAGUGCAGGAGAGGGAAGUGGAAUUCCUAGUGUAGCGGUGAAAUGCGUAGAUAUUAGGAGGAACACCAGUGGCGAAGGCGACUUCCUGGACUGUAACUGACGCUGAGGCGCGAAAGCGUGGGUAGCAAACAGGAUUA